RNAcentral lists this ribosomal RNA (385 nucleotides) under Lacisediminihabitans profunda. RNAcentral's name for it is "Bacterial small subunit ribosomal RNA". It matches the Rfam family "Bacterial small subunit ribosomal RNA", at positions 393 to 770 of the family's 1533-position model. The record is from Rfam by way of RNAcentral. Lineage: Bacteria; Bacillati; Actinomycetota; Actinomycetes; Micrococcales; Microbacteriaceae.
CAUGCCGCGUGUGUGAAGAAGGUCUUCGGAUUGUAAAGCACUUUAAGUUGGGAGGAAGGGUUGUAGAUUAAUACUCUGCAAUUUUGACGUUACCGACAGAAUAAGCACCGGCUAACUCUGUGCCAGCAGCCGCGGUAAUACAGAGGGUGCAAGCGUUAAUCGGAAUUACUGGGCGUAAAGCGCGCGUAGGUGGUUUGUUAAGUUGGAUGUGAAAUCCCCGGGCUCAACCUGGGAACUGCAUUCAAAACUGACUGACUAGAGUAUGGUAGAGGGUGGUGGAAUUUCCUGUGUAGCGGUGAAAUGCGUAGAUAUAGGAAGGAACACCAGUGGCGAAGGCGACCACCUGGACUGAUACUGACACUGAGGUGCGAAAGCGUGGGGAGCA